CGAAAACUGCCUGCAGAGAGAGGAGAUGGGGAGGGCAGGGACCCUCUGCUUGGCUUCUCAGGAAAAUGCUACCAGGUGGGAAGAGAGGGUAAAAAAGCUCCAGUCUUCACCUUGGAUGUCAUCUCCCGGAUUCCAGUGCAGACUCUUCAGCUUCCUGCACAUAUUCUUCAGCCUUCUGGCGUAGACUCUUCAGCCUUCCAAUGCAGACCCAUCAGCCUCUGGAUAUGGACUUGCAUGGGACACUGCAGUGAGCUCCAGACCUUCAACUAAAUUCUUCAGUCUCCAGUGUGCAGGCAGACCCUCUGCAUUCUUCCUCAUCUGACUCUGUGGGUGGCCACUGUAAGCCAAUCUUGUAAAUUCUUAUAUAUUUGUAUAUCUUGUUUUAUAUCUGCUUCUCCAGUAAAUACUGACUGAUAUGCACACUGAUGCAAUCACACACCCAUAACCAUCAGUUCACAUGUACACUAACACACACAUGGGAUCAUGAGUACAAGCCUGCAUGGAUGUACAGACUGACAUCAAUUCAUAUUACAAAUAGCAUGUGCAUACACACACACACACACACACACACACACACACAUCACAAUGAACAAAUUCAGCUUCAGCAAAGGAUUCCUGCCAUCUUCCAUGUCCUUCCACCAAUAAUACCCCCUUCCUUGAAUCUUAGCUUGCUCAGGACAUGGAACUGCACAAGGCAAUAGUGACCUGAGCUAACCAAGGGUUCACUGUGCAGGAUGGGGUGGAGUUGGGGUCAUUAUCGCUUGUUCCCUCCCACAGAGUCCAGGGGCCAGGGCACCUGCACCUAAUUAGCUGUGCAGCUUGCUCCAUGGAACACUUGCCUGGAGCCGGCAGGCAGAGGGAGGGACAGCUAGAACAAUUCAGGACUGUGAUUCAGCCACCUCACACCAGGCCAGGCUGGCUCUCAGCUUGGUCUCCAGGGGGACCCAGGACCAAGCCACCCAUGGCCCCUGUGUCUCACUGGCCUCCUGGCCUGCAUGCCAUACACUCUGCUCUGCCUCCAAACAGCAUCGAGCAUGGUCCAUCUCUCAGAGAAGUCUUUCCCUGAGAUUCCCCGUUAAAAGGGGACUACUAACUAUCCUCAGGAUGAGAACUACUUCUUGUCAUAGCUGUCACCCCCUACACACACACAUGACCAGCUGUGCUCAUCUGGCUCCAUCUCUCCUUACUCCUCUUUCUGGUGUCCACUCCAUCACCUCCUCCUCCGGGCCUCUGAUGACGACUUAUCUUGAGCUCAGGACUUCCCACAUCCUCUCCCUCUCCACACGGGGCUUCCCUCCCACUCUGGCCUGACCAACUCAUGUCAUCUGGUCCCAGCAGAGAGUCACUGCUCCAGGAAUGUCCAUGACCUGUCUGCCUAUGCUCAGGCUCCUGCUGCCCCUGG
Molecule: long non-coding RNA, 1402 nt
Organism: Heterocephalus glaber (naked mole-rat)
Lineage: Eukaryota; Metazoa; Chordata; Mammalia; Rodentia; Bathyergidae
Source: Ensembl